CGCGGGGUGGAGCAGCUCGGUAGCUCGUCGGGCUCAUAACCCGAAGGUCGUCGGUUCAAAUCCGGCCCCCCGCAACCA
This 78-nucleotide transfer RNA is filed under the name Escherichia coli. Its description in RNAcentral is "tRNA-Met". It matches the Rfam family "tRNA". From Rfam's summary of the family: Transfer RNA (tRNA) molecules are approximately 80 nucleotides in length. Their secondary structure includes four short double-helical elements and three loops (D, anti-codon, and T loops). Further hydrogen bonds mediate the characteristic L-shaped molecular structure. tRNAs have two regions of fundamental functional importance: the anti-codon, which is responsible for specific mRNA codon recognition, and the 3' end, to which the tRNAs corresponding amino acid is attached (by aminoacyl-tRNA synthetases). tRNAs cope with the degeneracy of the genetic code in two manners: having more than one tRNA (with a specific anti-codon) for a particular amino acid; and 'wobble' base-pairing, i.e. permitting non-standard base-pairing at the 3rd anti-codon position. The record is from RNAcentral. Lineage: Bacteria; Pseudomonadati; Pseudomonadota; Gammaproteobacteria; Enterobacterales; Enterobacteriaceae.